RNAcentral lists this ribosomal RNA (329 nucleotides) under uncultured bacterium. RNAcentral describes it as "bacterial SSU rRNA". It matches the Rfam family "Bacterial small subunit ribosomal RNA", at positions 568 to 898 of the family's 1533-position model. The record is from RNAcentral.
CGCGUAGGUGGUAGUGUAAGUCUGGGGUGGAAUCCCAGGGCUCAACCCUGGAACUGCCUUGGAAACUGCAUUACUUGAGUCAGUGAGGGGAGGGUAGAAUUCCUGGUGUAGCGGUGAAAUGCGUAGAUAUCAGGAGGAAGGCCUGUGGCGAAGGCGGCCCUCUGCGCUGGACUGACACUGAGGCGCGAAAGCGUGGGGAGCAAACAGGAUUAGAUACCCUGGUAGUCCACGCCCUAAACGGUGGGCACUAGGUGUAGGGCUCGUAAGGGUUCUGUGCCGAAGGGAAACCAUUAAGUGCCCCGCCUGGGGAGUACGGCCGCAAGGUUGAA